UUCGUUGUAGCUCAGUGGCAGAGCGUACCGGUAAAAACGGGAAGGGCGUGAGUUCAAUUCUCAUCAGCGAGG
This 72-nucleotide transfer RNA is filed under the name Chitinophaga rhizophila. Its description in RNAcentral is "Chitinophaga sp. B61 tRNA-Phe". It matches the Rfam family "tRNA". Rfam says of the family: Transfer RNA (tRNA) molecules are approximately 80 nucleotides in length. Their secondary structure includes four short double-helical elements and three loops (D, anti-codon, and T loops). The record is from RNAcentral. Lineage: Bacteria; Pseudomonadati; Bacteroidota; Chitinophagia; Chitinophagales; Chitinophagaceae.